GGCAGGGGGAGGGCCCGCUCACCUCGGUAGCGGCGGGAGGCGAGGUGGCACGCUGCGAGGAGCAGCACGGCCACCAGCGCCAACACCUUGGCGCUCCUCACGCUGAAGUAGUGGUUGAUCUCCCGCUUGCCCAGGAGGUCAUGGAGCUAAAGAGGACAGGAAAAGGAGACGAAAUGGAGCAGCCAGAACAGUAGGAGGAGCACAAUUUUGAGAUUCCGGAGAACUCCUUUCUACUUGAAGUCCCAAAUACACUGCAGUUCCUGGCCAGCCAGUGAGUGAUGCUGUCUAUAACAGCCGAAUUGCGGAACCCCCUGAGGCUGCUGCCGCCUGACAACUUUCUUGGACUGUGGACCUGAGGGCAUAACAUAUUGAAGAAACCCAGCAAUUUCUAACUGGUUAUCAUGUAUAUUGCUUCAUUCUUGCCAGAUACAAAAUGUUAGAACUUCGAAGGGCUGUGGAAAUUACCGUAUCCAGUGGUUUCCAAGUGGAUGCACAACACAAUUUUGCAAGGU
Long non-coding RNA from Zalophus californianus (California sea lion), 512 nucleotides. RefSeq lists it as uncharacterized. NCBI's taxonomy places the organism in Eukaryota, Metazoa, Chordata, Mammalia, Carnivora, Otariidae. The record is from RefSeq and is a predicted model, not a curated record. The transcript is spliced from 6 exons.